GACGAACGCUGGCGGCGUGCUUAACACAUGCAAGUCGAACGAAGAGCGAUGGAAGCUUGCUUCUAUCAAUCUUAGUGGCGAACGGGUGAGUAACGCGUAAUCAACCUGCCCUUCAGAGGGGGACAACAGUUGGGAACGACUGCUAAUACCGCAUACGAUCUAAUCUCGGCAUCGAGGAUAGAUGAAAGGUGGCCUCUACAUGUAAGCUAUCACUGAAGGAGGGGAUUGCGUCUGAUUAGCUAGUUGGAGGGGUAACGGCCCACCAAGGCGAUGAUCAGUAGCCGGUCUGAGAGGAUGAACGGCCACAUUGGGACUGAGACACGGCCCAGACUCCUACGGGAGGCAGCAGUGGGGAAUCUUCCGCAAUGGACGAAAGUCUGACGGAGCAACGCCGCGUGAGUGAUGACGGCCUUCGGGUUGUAAAGCUCUGUUAAUCGGGACGAAAGGCCUUCUUGCGAAUAGUGAGAAGGAUUGACGGUACCGGAAUAGAAAGCCACGGCUAACUACGUG
This 510-nucleotide ribosomal RNA is filed under the name uncultured bacterium. RNAcentral's name for it is "partial 16S ribosomal RNA". It matches the Rfam family "Bacterial small subunit ribosomal RNA", at positions 28 to 507 of the family's 1533-position model. The record is from RNAcentral.